GUAUUUACAGACAGCACAUAUACUAAAAUUGGAACAAUACAGAGAUUAGCAUGGCCCCUGCUCAAGGAUGACACACAAAUUCGUGAAGUGUUCCAUAUAUAU
RNAcentral lists this small nuclear RNA (102 nucleotides) under Sorex araneus (European shrew). Lineage: Eukaryota; Metazoa; Chordata; Mammalia; Eulipotyphla; Soricidae. The record is from RNAcentral.